Molecule: long non-coding RNA, 775 nt
Filed under: Mustela putorius furo (domestic ferret)
Lineage: Eukaryota; Metazoa; Chordata; Mammalia; Carnivora; Mustelidae
Description: lncRNA (ENSMPUG00000028352.1)
Source: RNAcentral
AAUCUCCCGAGAGCCACUUCUUUGUUGUGGUUCUAAAAUUCUCAUAUCUGUGGGGGUAAAUAAGCAGUUGCAGAUGCAUCUAAAAUGUAUGAAGAGCAAUACCAGAGGAGAAUAUUCCCACUAUAACCAAAAAAGUUUCUCCAGGCUGGGGAAGAUGUAGAGGAAGAGCAGAUAUGACGAAGGCAAAGACGUGGGUGGAUUUCACAGAGAAGAUGAUACCCUGUUUUCUGGGAAGAGCCCCAGAGAGGUGGCAAGAUCAUGAGAAAUUUAGAGGAAUAGCACCACAAAAGAACAGAGCCAGAGAGAAGGACCGGCUUCGGGCAGAUUGAGAUGAGACCGGGACACAGACGAGCAGCAGGACCCCCAUGUCCGGGAUGAUCUGGCAGCAGAAAGAUGGUCCCCAUGGUUCAACACAGGACCCAGAAUCUGUGCAGAGAUUCUCCAGCCUUCACCUAAGAGAAAGGAGCAGUUCGGCAGCAUCCUGAAUGGACUGCUAACUCAGGACCAGGUUGAACCAGGGAGUCUCAGUAAAAACCUGUGGCGAUGAAUGGUGCCUCCUGCAACCCCAUGUCUGGACUGUGUACUGUGCUUGGCGGAUACUAUGUUUUUUACAAACUGAAGGUUCAAGACGUCAGUGGAGUAAAAAACAAACAAACAAACAAACAAACACAACAACAACUUGGGUUGGAAGAAAUGGGCUGCAGAUGUGGUUGGAAUAACACGAGCCAGAAUGACAAAUGGGGCCUGAUGAUGGGUCUGCAUUGCUGGAACCUCA